UCUUCAUUUCAAGUGCUCUCUCGUCGGUCCGAAAGGCGAGAGAGCGUGUGAAAUGAAGAGA
RNAcentral lists this microRNA precursor (61 nucleotides) under Pristionchus pacificus. RNAcentral's name for it is "mir-8364 microRNA precursor family". It matches the Rfam family "mir-8364 microRNA precursor family". Lineage: Eukaryota; Metazoa; Nematoda; Chromadorea; Rhabditida; Neodiplogasteridae. The record is from Rfam by way of RNAcentral.